RNAcentral lists this ribosomal RNA (443 nucleotides) under uncultured bacterium. RNAcentral describes it as "SSU rRNA". It matches the Rfam family "Bacterial small subunit ribosomal RNA", at positions 26 to 518 of the family's 1533-position model. The record is from RNAcentral.
AGAACGAACGCUGGCGGCACGCCUAACACAUGCAAGUCGAGCGCCCAGCAAUGGGAGCGGCGGACGGGUGAGGAACACGUGGGAACAUGCCUUUCGGUUCGGCACAACUGCGGGAAACUUGAGCUAAUACCGAAUACGCCCUUACGGGGAAAGAUUUAUUGCCGAAGGAACGGCCCGCGUCCGAUUAGCUAGUUGGUGAGGUAAUGGCUCACCAAGGCUACGAUCGGUAGCUGGUCUGAGAGGAUGACCAGCAUCACUGGGACUGAGACACGGCCCAGACUCCUACGGGAGGCAGCAGUGGGGAAUAUUGGACAAUGGGCGCAAGCCUGAUCCAGCCAUGCCGCGUGGAUGAUGAAGGCCUUAGGGUUGUAAAGUCCUUUUAACGGGAAGUAUAAUGACGGUACCCGUAGAAUAAGCCCGGCUAACUUCGUGCCAGCAGCCGC